Populus trichocarpa (black cottonwood) is the source of this 144-nucleotide non-coding RNA. The record is from Rfam. NCBI's taxonomy places the organism in Eukaryota, Viridiplantae, Streptophyta, Magnoliopsida, Malpighiales, Salicaceae.
UAAUCUAUUUGGGGCAAAUCAUCAUUUAGUUAUGGCAGACUCAUGCCUGAUUGCUCAGGAUUACCCACUACUGUAUGAACAAUAACAUAUUUGAAAGAAAAACUUUAUAAAAUUGGAGUCUAUUUUUAAGUUUACAAGUUGGAC